RNAcentral lists this ribosomal RNA (500 nucleotides) under uncultured bacterium. RNAcentral describes it as "partial 16S ribosomal RNA". It matches the Rfam family "Bacterial small subunit ribosomal RNA", at positions 899 to 1397 of the family's 1533-position model. The record is from RNAcentral.
ACUCAAAUGAAUUGACGGGGGCCCGCACAAGCAGUGGAGCAUGUGGUUCAAUUCGAUGCAACGCGAAGAACCUUACCUGGGUUUGAAAGGCAAGUGACCGUCGAUGAAAGUCGAUCUCGUAGCAAUACGCACUUGUACAGGUGCUGCAUGGCUGUCGUCAGCUCGUGCCGUGAGGUGUUAGGUUAAGUCCUGCAACGAGCGCAACCCCUGCACUUAGUUGCCAUCAGGUAAUGCUGGGCACUCUAAGUGGACUGCCUACGCAAGUAGUGAGGAAGGCGGGGAUGACGUCAAGUCCUCAUGGCCCUUACACCCAGGGCCACACACGUGCUACAAUGGUUGGUACAAAGGGCUGCUAAGCCGCAAGGUGGAGCCAAUCCCAAAAAACCAACCUCAGUUCGGAUUGGGGUCUGCAACUCGACCCCAUGAAGCUGGAAUUGCUAGUAAUCGCGGAUCAGCACGCCGCGGUGAAUACGUUCCCGGGCCUUGUACACACCGCCCGU